Molecule: transfer RNA, 84 nt
Filed under: Echinostoma caproni
Lineage: Eukaryota; Metazoa; Platyhelminthes; Trematoda; Plagiorchiida; Echinostomatidae
Rfam family: tRNA
About the family: Transfer RNA (tRNA) molecules are approximately 80 nucleotides in length.
Source: Rfam by way of RNAcentral
GGCCUCGUAGCUCAGCUGGUAGAGCGUGUGCUGUACAAAAGCGUAGGCGGUGGCUAUACGUGGGUUCGAAUCCUACCGAGGCUA